RNAcentral lists this non-coding RNA (31 nucleotides) under Rattus norvegicus (Norway rat). The record is from RNAcentral. Lineage: Eukaryota; Metazoa; Chordata; Mammalia; Rodentia; Muridae.
UACCAGCGUGGAUAUGAAAGUGUGUGUGUGU